AACGCUAGCUACAGGCUUAACACAUGCAAGUAGAGGGGCAGCAUGAAUAAAGUUUCGGCUUUAUUUGAUGGCGACCUGCGAAUGGGUGAGUAACACGUAUCCAACCUGCCUGUUACUGGAGGAUAGCCUCCCGAAAGGGAAAUUAACACUCCAUAUUAUAUAGAUGAGGCAUCUUGUUUAUAUGAAAGUUUCACGGUAACGGAUGGGGAUGCGUCCCAUUAGAUAGUAGGCGGGGUAACGGCCCACCAAGGCUACGAUCGGUAGGGGUUCUGAGAGGAAGGUCCCCCACAUUGGAACUGAGACACGGUCCAAACUCCUACGGGAGGCAGCAGUGAGGAAUAUUGGUCAAUGGGCGAGAGCCUGAACCAGCCAAGUAGCGUGCAGGACGACGGCCCUAUGGGUCGUAAACUGCUUUUAUGCGGGGAUAACGUGCGCCACGUGUGGUGUAUUGCAGGUACCGCAUGAAUAAGGACCGGCUAAUUCCGUGCCAGCAGCCGCGGUAAUACGGAAGGUCCGGGCGUUAUCCGGAUUUAUUGGGUUUAAAGGGAGCGUAGGCCGUUGUUUAAGCGUGUUGUGAAAUGUCCCGGCUCAACCGUGGCACUGCAGCGCGAACUGGACGACUUGAGUGCGCGGAACGUAUGCGGAAUUUGUGGUGUAGCGGUGAAAUGCUUAGAUAUCACGAAGAACUCCGAUUG
Molecule: ribosomal RNA, 695 nt
Filed under: uncultured bacterium
Lineage: Bacteria
Description: bacterial SSU rRNA
Rfam family: Bacterial small subunit ribosomal RNA
Source: RNAcentral